Molecule: unclassified non-coding RNA, 233 nt
Filed under: Hevea brasiliensis (rubber tree)
Lineage: Eukaryota; Viridiplantae; Streptophyta; Magnoliopsida; Malpighiales; Euphorbiaceae
Source: RNAcentral
GUCGAGUGGAGGGCGGUGGGAACUGCCGCCAGCAAUGAUGAAGAUGAUCGGUGAUGAGAUUCUUGAGAGGUUGAGAGGAGUGAAGGAUCAAUCCAAUGUAACUGAGCAACAAGAGGUGAUACAACUAUGGCGUAUUGAAAAACUGAAAGCACUCAAAAUGACAACAAUUUCAAAUUCCUCAUCAAAUUCAAGCACCGUGGCUCAAGAAGCAAAGAUGCUCGAAAGAUCCUUGG